Molecule: ribosomal RNA, 252 nt
Filed under: uncultured bacterium
Lineage: Bacteria
Description: partial 16S ribosomal RNA
Rfam family: Bacterial small subunit ribosomal RNA
Source: RNAcentral
UACGAGGGGGGCGAGCGUUGUUCGGAAUUAUUGGGCGUAAAGGGUGCGUAGGCGGCCUGACAAGUCUGAUGUGAAAUCCCUGGGCUCAACCCAGGGCCUGCAUCGGAAACUGUCGGGCUUGAGUAUGGGAGAGGUGAGUGGAAUUUCCGGUGUAGCGGUGAAAUGCGUAGAUAUCGGAAGGAACACCUGUGGCGAAAGCGGCUCACUGGACCAUUACUGACGCUGAGGCACGAAAGCUAGGGAGCAAACAGG